This is a non-coding RNA of Microcebus murinus (gray mouse lemur), 738 nucleotides long. Lineage: Eukaryota; Metazoa; Chordata; Mammalia; Primates; Cheirogaleidae. The record is from RefSeq and is a predicted model, not a curated record.
CAACGCUGGAGGAUGAAGUUUCUAAGCGCUUCCUGCUCAGGGUCUCUAAGAGCUAGAAGAGGUUAAGGUUUAAACUUGAACGCUACUGUCGAAUGCAAAAGGGUCUUGCGCUGUCGCCCAGGCUGGUCUUGAACUCCUGCUCUUAGGCGAUUCUUUGGCCUUGGCCUCCCAAAGUGCUGGGAUUAUAUAGAUGAGUGAGUAUGGGAACUUGCGCCAGCUCCUGUCCAGUCCAAACCAGUUGAGACCACCAACCCUUCAACUGGGCUUUUGACAUCAGAGUGCCAAAAACUCCACCAUCAGAUCAUGCUAACACUGCCAUUUUCUGUACAUGUGUCCAUGAAAUGCCAUGAACUCAAAUAUGCUUGCUUGGAACAAGCCUGUUACUUUAUUUUUCUUCACUGCCAAUCACUUUUCCCCACACCUUAGAUCACCCUCCUUCCCUAAUCCAUAAAUAUUCCUGAGCUUUAUCUUCUGGGAGGUGAAUUUGAUAGCUGUUCUCCUGCCUUUCUGAUGGGUUUCUCUUUGCAAAGCCUGUGUCACAGUGAUUGAUUUUCUGUGUGUAGCAGAACAAACCUGGACCUGGCUGAUAACACCCGCUGGGCUGCUAAAUAAGGUCCCCUCUCUAAUCCCCCUCUCUCGAGGAGUCCCCUUACCCCUCCACAGAAGUUCUCCACAGACUCACACCUGAGAGACUUCUCCAUACGCAAACUUCUUAAAGCAUCAUCCAAAUAAAGCUUG